Fundulus heteroclitus (mummichog) is the source of this 182-nucleotide long non-coding RNA. RefSeq lists it as uncharacterized. NCBI's taxonomy places the organism in Eukaryota, Metazoa, Chordata, Actinopteri, Cyprinodontiformes, Fundulidae. The transcript has 3 exons. The record is from RefSeq and is a predicted model, not a curated record.
CUGCCAGCUCGUCAGAUAGGCCCCAACGGAUGCUGCAGAUAGCCUGAGCCGCUGCAGACGCUUGGACUGGAACGUUUCACACGCUCUCACAAGAGCACACAUGCUGUACCAUCAUGAAGUAAUGUGUCACGUGUUGCUGUCUUCACAGAUGACAGCUUUUGAUCUGCAGCCUCUGUACAUAC